Molecule: ribosomal RNA, 253 nt
Filed under: uncultured bacterium
Lineage: Bacteria
Description: partial 16S ribosomal RNA
Rfam family: Bacterial small subunit ribosomal RNA
Source: RNAcentral
UACAGAGGGGGCAAGCGUUAUUCGGAAUUAUUGGGCGUAAAGGGCGCGUAGGCGGCUUUUCAAGUGACGGGUGAAAUCCCUCGGCUUAACCGGGGAACUGCGUCUGAUACUGGAUGGCUAGAGGUUGGGAGAGGGAUGCGGAAUUCCAGGUGUAGCGGUGGAAUGCGUAGAUAUCUGGAGGAACACCGGUGGCGAAGGCGGCAUCCUGGGUCGGUAUUGACGCUGAGGAGCGAAAGCCAGGGGAGCAAACGGG